GAAUUCGCCCUUAGAGUUUGAUCCUGGCUCAGGACGAACGCUGGCGGCGCGCCUAACACAUGCAAGUCGAACGAGCGAGAGGAGGUUUGCUUUCUCAAGCGAGUGGCGAACGGGUGAGUAACGCGUGAGGAACCUGCCUCAAAGAGGGGGACAACAGUUGGAAACGACUGCUAAUACCGCAUAAGCCCACGACCCGGCAUCGGGUAGAGGGAAAAGGAGCAAUCCGCUUUGAGAUGGCCUCGCGUCCGAUUAGCUAGUUGGUGAGGUAAUGGCCCACCAAGGCGACGAUCGGUAGCCGGACUGAGAGGUUGAACGGCCACAUUGGGACUGAGACACGGCCCAGACUCCUACGGGAGGCAGCAGUGGGGAAUAUUGCACAAUGGGGGAAACCCUGAUGCAGCGACGCCGCGUGGAGGAAGAAGGUCUUCGGAUUGUAAACUCCUGUUGUUGAGGAAGAUAAUGACGGUACUCAACAAGGAAGUGACGGCUAACUACGUGCCAGCAGCCGCGGUAAAACGUAGGUCACAAGCGUUGUCCGGAAUUACUGGGUGUAAAGGGAGCGCAGGCGGGAAGACAAGUUGGAAGUGAAAUCCAUGGGCUCAACCCAUGAACUGCUUUCAAAACUGUUUUUCUUGAGUAGUGCAGAGGUAGGCGGAAUUCCCGGUGUAGCGGUGGAAUGCGUAGAUAUCGGGAGGAACACCAGUGGCGAAGGCGGCCUACUGGGCACCAACUGACGCUGAGGCUCGAAAGUGUGGGUAGCAAACAGGAUUAGAUACCCUGGUAGUCCACACUGUAAACGAAGAUUACUAGGUGUUGGGAGGAUUGACCCCUUCAGUGCCGCAGUUAACACAAUAAGUAAUCCACCUGGGGAGUACGACCGCAAGGUUGAAACUCAAAGGAAUUGACGGGGGCCCGCACAAGCAGUGGAGUAUGUGGUUUAAUUCGACGCAACGCGAAGAACCUUACCAAGUCUUGACAUCCUGCGACGGACAUAGAAAUAUGUUUUUCCUUCGGGACGCAGAGACAGGUGGUGCAUGGUUGUCGUCAGCUCGUGUCGUGAGAUGUUGGGUUAAGUCCCGCAACGAGCGCAACCCUUAUGGUCAGUUACUACGCAAGAGGACUCUGGCCAGACUGCCGUUGACAAAACGGAGGAAGGUGGGGAUGACGUCAAAUCAUCAUGCCCUUUAUGACUUGGGCUACACACGUACUACAAUGGCGUUAAACAAAGAGAAGCAAGACCGCGAGGUGGAGCAAAACUCAGAAACAACGUCCCAGUUCGGACUGCAGGCUGCAACUCGCCUGCACGAAGUCGGAAUUGCUAGUAAUCGCAGAUCAGCAUGCUGCGGUGAAUACGUUCCCGGGCCUUGUACACACCGCCCGUCA
This 1383-nucleotide ribosomal RNA is filed under the name uncultured bacterium. Its description in RNAcentral is "bacterial SSU rRNA". It matches the Rfam family "Bacterial small subunit ribosomal RNA". The record is from RNAcentral.